UACCAGACUCCUACGGGAGGCAGCAGUGAGGAAUAUUGGUCAAUGGCCGUAAGGCUGAACCAGCCAAGUAGCGUGAGGGAAGACUGCCCUAUGGGUUGUAAACCUCUUUUAUGCGGGGAUAAAGGUGUCCACGUGUGGAUGUUUGCAGGUACCGCAUGAAUAAGGACCGGCUAAUUCCGUGCCAGCAGCCGCGGUAAUACGUAGGGAGCAAGCGUUAUCCGGAUUUAUUGGGUGUAAAGGGUGCGUAGACGGGAAAUUAAGUUAGUUGUGAAAUCCCUCGGCUCAACUGAGGAACUGCAACUAAAACUGAUUUUCUUGAGUGCAGGAGAGGUAAGUGGAAUUCCUAGUGUAGCGGUGAAAUGCGUAGAUAUUAGGAGGAACACCAGUGGCGAAGGCGACUUACUGGACUGUAACUGACGUUGAGGCACGAAAGUGUGGGGAGCAAACAGGAUUAGAUACCCUAGUAUA
Molecule: ribosomal RNA, 468 nt
Filed under: uncultured bacterium
Lineage: Bacteria
Description: bacterial SSU rRNA
Rfam family: Bacterial small subunit ribosomal RNA
Source: RNAcentral